RNAcentral lists this long non-coding RNA (565 nucleotides) under Calidris pygmaea (Spoon-billed sandpiper). RNAcentral describes it as "lncRNA (ENSCPGG00000002331.1)". The record is from RNAcentral. Lineage: Eukaryota; Metazoa; Chordata; Aves; Charadriiformes; Scolopacidae.
GGCAAAUGGAAACAACUUUUAUUUUCCCCUGAAAUUAAGAUUUUGGAACUUGGACAACUGACAUGGUGCUCUAGGGAGGAGGAAAAAAAGCUAUGCUAGUUUAGAAUUAAUUCUGUCUUGCCAACAUAUCUAUGGGAGAGGGAAAAAAAACCUGAAAAUGGUGUGCUUUCCAAUUUACUAAGCUCAGUCCUUCUUCCACUUACAGGUCAGUGUUUUGUGAACCCACUGAAGAAUCUGUGCCUUUCAAGAAACUCCAGAAAAUUAAUUCUGACCCCCAUCCUGCUAAGCUGGGAUGAGUGUCUCCAGUCAACCAGCUUGGAUUAUAAAUGACCAAUGGAAACGAUGAGGCCCCAUUCCUGCAAGUAAGUCUUGAUCUCAUCUGACAAGAUACCAUUUUUGAUUAGCAAGUGAAACCUGUAGUCUGUGCCCUGUCUGAACAGAAUGGGAAUAUGGUUGAAAAAAUAUACCCAGUCAUAGUACUAGCAGAUAAUUUAUAAUCAAAGCAUAUUAUAAUUAUGGUUUAUAAAUGAGGUGUUUAUAACCAUUUACCUGUCAAUAGGUAAAU